This 253-nucleotide ribosomal RNA is filed under the name uncultured bacterium. Its description in RNAcentral is "partial 16S ribosomal RNA". It matches the Rfam family "Bacterial small subunit ribosomal RNA", at positions 524 to 776 of the family's 1533-position model. The record is from RNAcentral.
UACGUAGGGGGCAAGCGUUGUCCGGAUUUAUUGGGCGUAAAGGGCGCGUAGGCGGUCACGCACGUCCGUUGUGAAAUCGCUCGGCUCAACUGGGCGGGGUCAGCGGAUACGGUGUGACUGGAGCAAGCUAGGGGGCAAUGGAAUUCCCGGUGUAGUGGUGGAAUGCGUAGAUAUCGGGAGGAACACCAGUGGCGAAGGCGGUUGCCUGGAGCUUUGCUGACGCUGAUGCGCGAAAGCGUGGGGAGCGAUCCGG